This 1045-nucleotide ribosomal RNA is filed under the name Calisoga sp. N DHL-215. Its description in RNAcentral is "partial 12S ribosomal RNA". The record is from RNAcentral. Lineage: Eukaryota; Metazoa; Arthropoda; Arachnida; Araneae; Nemesiidae.
UUCUUUUUUCUUAAAGGUAAUUCAACCUAUCUCAUUUGGCGGCCUUCAAUCUUAUUAAAGGAACUUGUUGAUUAACCGAAGAUACGCGAUAUAUUUAGCUUAAACCCAAUUUUUAUACCGCCGUCCAAAGGAUAAAAUCAAAUAUUUUACCCGUAUCAUACCCCUUAAGUAGGAAUGUCAGGUCAAGGUGAAGUUUAUGUUUAAGUUUCAAUGAGUUAUUAAUAAAAAUAAUUUAUGGACUUUCGUUAAAAAACGAAAAUCGAAUUAAGAUUUAAAAGUAUUUUCAAUUUAAUAUAUUAUAAAGAAUCAGCAAAAAAGGUGUACAUAUCGCCCGUCACCCUCGUCCAAAGAUGAGGUAAGUCGUAACACAGUUAAUAUACUGGAAAGUGUAUUAAGCGUACUUCCUCUAAGCUUUUAGUAUUUCAUUUACACUGAAAAGAUGACAUUUACUUUAUUUUGUUUAUUUAUUUAUAAAAUCUUUGUUAUAUCGACUAUCUAACGCGACACUUCAAAAACUGAAAAGGAUUACCCAAACAAAAUUAAAGUAAACUUAUGUACCUUUUGUAUCAGGGAUUUUCUAACCAUUGUGUUUAUACACCAUCCCGAAACAAGACGAACUUCGUAACUUUAGUAAAAGUUGUGGCACAAACAAUAUAAAUUUUAUAAAGUUGAGAUAUUCUUUUCAAGUCUUCAUAUAUCUGGUUCACUCCCUCCCACUUUUUCUAAUUGUUCAAAGAAUAAGCUUUGUGCACAGGUCUUUCAUUAUCUCCCCACCACAAUUUAGAUUUAACAGUACCCACAUAGUUUUCAAACCUUAUUAUUAUUUUCACCCAAACAAAAACCAAGUGACUUACCUCAUCAACUUUACAAUGAAAAUAUUAGUAAAACACACCUCCCCAUUUUAUUCUCUAAAAACUUUUUCCUUCAUAAAAUAACAUUGAAAUUAUGAACUAGGCCCUCAAUCAAUUGACUGUUUAUCAAAAACAUAGCUAAUAGAUAUCAAUUACUAGUAAUACCUGCUCAAUGAAAAAUAAAUAGCCGCAAA